AGUUCAUGGGCUUCAAUCCUGAAGCUUAGAGGUGCUGGUCGGACAUGGUAGUGCCUAGUCUGAUAUUGCAACGAACGAUGUCUCAACUUUUUCCGCUUCUGACCGAUACUUUUAAGCUCCAGGAUUGAAACCUUUCUGAACU
Molecule: non-coding RNA, 142 nt
Organism: Marchantia polymorpha subsp. ruderalis
Lineage: Eukaryota; Viridiplantae; Streptophyta; Marchantiopsida; Marchantiales; Marchantiaceae
Source: the annotation of a GenBank genome assembly